This is a long non-coding RNA of Dioscorea cayenensis subsp. rotundata (Guinea yam), 841 nucleotides long. RefSeq lists it as uncharacterized. The record is from RefSeq and is a predicted model, not a curated record. NCBI's taxonomy places the organism in Eukaryota, Viridiplantae, Streptophyta, Magnoliopsida, Dioscoreales, Dioscoreaceae. The transcript has 4 exons.
GGUUCUCUAUGUCAUCUCUUUCUCCAUUAUUAGUCAACAGAUCACUGGAAAGCCACCGUGAUAGUGGGGAGCCUCGUGGAGGAGCUUAAGGACCAUGUUAAGGCCGGCAAGAAGCCAAGGAUCCUUUGCCUCCAUGGAUUUUGGACCAGUGGCAAGAUCAUAAGGCGCCAGGUGAGCGGAAAGUGGUUUCGGUGGGAUUUCUGAACCUCCUUUUUGCGGAGGAUGUGGAGGAUCUUGGGCGUUAGUUCCACUGCCCUUGCGGAGGAGGCGUUGUCUGAUGACCUCGGUCUUGGGAUCCAAAGUCUUCGCUUCGCAGCGAGGAAGACGAAGGCAUGUCUCCGUUCAAUCCCUUGCUUCCUCCUCGGAAAUUCUUUGCUGGGAAACUGAUUUCUAUGACGUACUCUAGAACUCCAUCGGUGGUGGCAAACCUAAGAUGCUAUGGUAAUUCAAUGAGAAUUGGUGGCCUUCGUCUUCAGUGAUUGAGGAUCCUCCGGUUGCGAGCGCGGAUAAAGAGAAACUGAUUGCUAUUUUUUUAGUUUGCACCUAUAUUGAUGAGGAAAAGGAGAGAGGAUUUUCAGAGGAGUAUGGAACUGUUUUGAGGGAGUUAAUAUGUCCAAACAUAUGUUGGAGCAUGUCAAGAUGGAGAAGAGAAGAUGAUUGAGAGCCAUGUGUUUAGAGAGGUGACGGUAUCUACUGUUGCAUAUCAACGUUCGAUUUUGUUUCUACAUUGUCUUUUAUUUGAUUUUAUUUGUUUAUAAAAAAGCCAAAGCUUCAUGGAAGAUCCCAACACCCAAAUGAAUUCAAUAAAUUUCUCUAAUAAUCUUAAUUUUUAUUUAGAUAA